Pseudonaja textilis is the source of this 179-nucleotide small nuclear RNA. Its record names the gene U2. It matches the Rfam family "U2 spliceosomal RNA". Rfam says of the family: U2 is a small nuclear RNA (snRNA) component of the spliceosome (involved in pre-mRNA splicing). Complementary binding between U2 snRNA (in an area lying towards the 5' end but 3' to hairpin I) and the branchpoint sequence (BPS) of the intron results the bulging out of an unpaired adenosine, on the BPS, which initiates a nucleophilic attack at the intronic 5' splice site, thus starting the first of two transesterification reactions that mediate splicing. Lineage: Eukaryota; Metazoa; Chordata; Lepidosauria; Squamata; Elapidae. The record is from Ensembl.
AUGAUUUCUGGCCAUUUGGCCAAGAUCAGGUGUAUUAACUGUUCUUAACAGCUUAACAGCUGCUAUGUUCUCAAUGCACACUGCCCAGAAUUAUUCUGGUGGACCCUAAAUUUGACCAGCUAUCUCACUCACAGGUGGUGUAUAAUGAGAACAUAUCAGAUAUGAAACUGAUACUUUAU